UACGUAGGGGGCUAGCGUUGUCCGGAAUCAUUGGGCGUAAAGCGCGUGUAGGCGGCUCGGUAAGUCCGCUGUGAAAGUCGGGGGCUCAACCCUCGAAUGCCGGUGGAUACUGUCAGGCUAGAGUGCGGAAGAGGCGAGUGGAAUUCCUGGUGUAGCGGUGAAAUGCGCAGAUAUCAGGAGGAACACCAAUUGCGAAGGCAGCUCGCUGGGACGUUACUGACGCUGAGACGCGAAAGCGUGGGGAGCAAACAGGAUUAGAUACCCCAGUAGUCC
This 273-nucleotide ribosomal RNA is filed under the name uncultured bacterium. RNAcentral's name for it is "partial 16S ribosomal RNA". It matches the Rfam family "Bacterial small subunit ribosomal RNA", at positions 524 to 796 of the family's 1533-position model. The record is from RNAcentral.